CGUGAUUCAUAACCUUCCUGGUAACCAGACGGGAAUGAACUUUAUUUCUAUUUAAAAGGUAAUUUUUUAUUUUUUUUGGGGGUAUAUUCAGGAUUAAUUCUUCUCUAAAUAUUUUAUGUAUUUUCCCUUAUACAAGAAUGACCUAAAUAUAUCAAAUUUCAAAAUGUUUAUGAAUUUCAACUUUCGUUUUUGGCUCGUACGUAUUUACAUACAUUAUGUUUAUGAUUAUUUCUAUCAAGUCCCAGACCUGGGUCAAACUGUUGUCUUUGAUGGUUUAUAAUUUCAUUGCUAUAAACAAGGAUAUGUAUGAUACUAUACCAAUACUUGUCUAUAUGAUAUAUAUAUAUAUAUAUAUAUUAUAUGUACCAAUGGGAAGGUUUAUACUAACAGGAUAACUUAAAUAUGGUGUACAUUGUAUGUCUUAAUACCUCAGCUUCUACAAAGGGGCCAGUUGACAAAACACCAAAGAAAUACCACCAAAUCUAAAGAAAAGUCCAAAUCUUGUAAUAGUUAUCUUUAAAUGUGAAAAAAAGAAUAAAUUCCCAAAUUUUAUUUGACAUAAUUGGUUACAACAUAAUGCAAAGAACCGUAACUCUUAUCCUUUUUGUGUAACAAUAUAACAUGUAAUAAUAACUAAUACAGUUUUUAAUUUAUUCCCCUAAAAAAAUAGAAAAAUAGAGACUUGACACAAUUGAUUCAUGACAUGUUUUGUUGGUCAGUAAUAUAUUAGUCUUCUCUACCAAGAUUAUCAUUCAUUUUCAAAUUUUAAAACAUUUUUAAAUGGUUGCUAUGGAAACGAACUAUUUAGUAAAUUCAAAAUUUUAACGUUUUCGAAUAACUUAGGGUUUCGUUUGUUAACAAUGUAAAUAUUCAUAUUGUUUUUAUUGAUUAACUAAAUUUCGAUGGGACUUUAAGUUCCCUUAUUUUCAAUUUCAAAAGUGUCUUUUUCACCUAUAUUCAGGCAAAAUGUUGUUUUGACGGUUACCAUGGCAAUGCACAUUAUACAGGAAAAAUAAUGACAAAAUUUACUCAUAUACCAAUGUUUUUAUCAUAUAGGGCAAAACAAAUUAAUUCUGUGACAUGUCAUGAAUCACCCUCUGCAUGAUUUUUAAACAAUACAGGUACUUUAAACCCAAGUCAAAUUGAAUUCAAUUUAAGAAUAUUUACUUUUAAAGAUGGUACCACCGACUGCAAAAUUUUUGUUAUGGCUAAUUAUUUAUCAUUGAUUUUAUUUUGUAGUGUGUUUAAUGGCUGCAUCAUCUCAAAGCUGUGGUGUUUGUGACCUCCGUCACAUCACAAAACCAUGCAUAGUCUGGUGUACAGAAUGUGACGAGGGACUAUGUUCAGAAUGCAAGGAACAUCAUAGUUUGUCUAAGUCAUCGAGAAGCCACAGUGUGAUACCUAUUGCCGAAUACCAGAAACUGCCAGCGGAUGUACUGAAAAUUACUCAGUAUUGUACCAGUCACGAUAAAAAAUAUCAAUUCUAUUGCCAGAAGCAUGAAUGUCCCUGCUGCAGCACAUGUAUCGUGGAAUGUCACAAAGAGUGCCGGGAAAUUGUCGAAUUAGAGAAUAUCAUUCGUAACGCCAAAUCCUCCAAUGCUAUGUGCGAGAUAGAGGAAUCAUUAGUUGAGAUAGCAGAAAAUCUAAAGAAGAUUCGCCAGCAUCAACAAGUCAAUCUGUCGAAAUUUAAAGAAAAGAGAAAGAAAUUGAAAAAGAAAUCAAGAAGUCAAGAAUACAAAUCAACAACCACCUCGACAAACUACAAGAAGAUUUAAUGAAACAACUCAACGAGCUCGAAGAAAAAGAAAACUCUAAAAUUUGUCAGUUAAUGGCCUCGCUAGAGAAGAAAGAAAAAGAAAUAGGAGAAUGCCAAAAUAGCCUAUUGAACAUUAAGAAACACGCAACAGAUCUUCAAAUGUUUCUCUCAAUUAAGCAAAUAGAAGAGGACGUUUAUAGCAAAGAAAAACAAUUGCAGGCUCUUGUAGAAGGCAAGGAACAGCAUACUCUUUCAUAUCAGAUCAACACCUCUAUCCAGAAUAUCAUAUCCGAUAUCAGAAGUUUUGGGGAAGUGCGUAUUGAAUCUAAUCCAUGCGACAUAGUUCUGAUCAAGAAGAAGGCCAGACAAGCCCAAUUGAUGAUUCCAAUCGUUCCAAAAAAAUCUAUAGAAAAUAUAAAGCUAACGAUACACAAGACCAUCGACACUCAAGGAAAUUGUAUUUACGGAUGUUGCAUACUUCCAGAUGAUAGAUUGGUAUUUACUUACUACUUGGUCAAACAAUUAAAAGUUUUCAGUGAUAAAGGAUCAAAAGACUUUGAGAUCAAGAUGCCGUGUUUCCCGUUUGAUAUAGUAUACAUUAGAGAAGACAAUACAUUGGCUGUAUCAUCUGAUAGUCCAUGUACCAUUACCAUAAUAAACCUGGAGACAAAACAAAUGAAGAAAUCAAUUGCAUUGGAUUCUGACAUUUAUGGCAUAGCCUUGAAAGGUAAUCAAUUGAUUUAUUCAGUGGAGACAAAGGUAUACGAAUGAUCAAUUUAAACGAUGAGUCUAUAAGUGACUUAGUCCGAGAAGCAAUGACCAGUUGUUGCUACACUGCAACAUUUAGGGACAAUAUAUAUCAUACAAACAAUAAAACAGACACUGUGACAUGUUAUAACCUACAAGGUAAACUACAAUGGACAUUCCAUAACGAAAGCGUUCUGAAGUCUCCUCGUGGUAUUGAUGUAGAUAAUGAUGGUAAUGUGUUCGUGGUUGGGUACAAUCGUCGAACAACGUUGUAGUUAUCUCCUCUGAUGGAAAAAGACAUAGAGAAAUAUUGACCGCAAGUGAUGGUCUUGAUAUCCUAUGUCACUUCAUUAUAGCGGAACAACGAAUCAGUUGCUAAUCGCGAACUACUUCAAUAGUAAAGCUUUUUUGUUAAAUUGUACUUGAAGAAAAAAUAACAGUGUGAAGUGCUGUCUCUUUGGAUCCUUAUAUGAAAUAAUUAUAGACAAUAGACAAUAUCUAUUUGCACAAUUAUAUUUACAAUAAGUGGU
This 3033-nucleotide long non-coding RNA is filed under the name Mytilus galloprovincialis (Mediterranean mussel). The record is from RNAcentral. Lineage: Eukaryota; Metazoa; Mollusca; Bivalvia; Mytilida; Mytilidae.